Molecule: long non-coding RNA, 203 nt
Filed under: Mytilus galloprovincialis (Mediterranean mussel)
Lineage: Eukaryota; Metazoa; Mollusca; Bivalvia; Mytilida; Mytilidae
Source: RNAcentral
AUUUCUUUAUUUCUGUGAAAAUAAUUUAAGUUCUUGGAUAAUCCAGAAAUGUCAACGUUUUUAUUUCACUACUGUUUACAAAAAUGUUCAAGUUCACAUACGACAUUUUGGAAGCAUGCAGUUUGCCAAAAUUUUCAAAGCCUGUUUGUGAGAAAAAUUUUUCUUGAAAAAUUUGUAAUUUACAACAUUUUAGAAGCCCAGCG